RNAcentral lists this unclassified non-coding RNA (713 nucleotides) under Hevea brasiliensis (rubber tree). The record is from RNAcentral. Lineage: Eukaryota; Viridiplantae; Streptophyta; Magnoliopsida; Malpighiales; Euphorbiaceae.
GUGCUAUGCUAGGUACUCCACCGGUGGUGCUCAUGUUUAUACAAAGACUCAUAAUGAUAAAUCAAUCAAUGAAAGUGAGAAGACAUUUGCAAUUAUCAUUGGACUGUUAGCAGGAGUCGCUUUAAUUAUUAUUUUCCUCACUUUCAUAAGAAAGGUGUUUGGAGGAAGUGGUAAAAUCUAAACUUUUGCUUUGUUAAAGGCCUUCAGUUUUUGUUUAAUUUCAAAUAGAUUCUGAACUAAAAAGGGCUCUCAUGCAGGCAAAUAAUUAAUUCCAACUUUUUCUAAGACAUUCGCCGAGCCACCGACUCAGUAUUCCUCCACCUGCUUCAAGUGAUCUGCUUUAGGGGGGGACUUUUGCUUGCCUUUUUUCUUUUUUAUUCAUAAUGUUAGCUUUCUUCUAUUUGAUAUUUCUUUUUUUUCUCUUUAAUUUACUCUUGAAAAGAAAGAUGUUGCUCGGGCCACAGGGCAUGAAGCCAAAUCAAAAGUUCAAAGGAGGCCAAGAUUCCAAUCGCUUCUUCACUCCAUUUAACAAAGUUGUAUUGUCCAAUGUGAAUUAAAAAAAUGGCAUGCAAUUCUUUUUGUAAAGGUUCAUUUGAUGGUUUCUUUUUUGAGAUGGUCUUUAUUGUACUUUUUCUUAUAUUUUGGGUAAGAAGCAAAAAUCUUUAUGAUCUAAUUUUUCAACAGUGGCAUUUCAAUUUGAUGAAGCAAUUCAA